AAUUUUUGCAAUUUCGUAUCAUCAAAAGACGAGCUUAUCAACAACGUAUUCCCGGAUAUCAUUGCUAACCACAAAAAUACUAAAUGGUUAAGUGAGCGAGCAAUUUUGGCCGCUAAAAAUAAAGAUGUAGAUGACCUCAAUCUUAUAAUUCAAAAUCAAAUCGUAGGUACUCUAUAUUCAUUCAAAUCUAUCGACUGUGUAACAAACGAAGAAGAAGCCACUAAUUAUCCAACUGAAGUUUUAAACUCCUUGGAUGUGCCUGGUUUACCACCGCACAAUUUAAAACUUAAAGUUGGAUCGGUAGUCAUCAUGCUUAGAAAUUUAAACCAACCAAAACUGUG
Molecule: long non-coding RNA, 341 nt
Filed under: Drosophila guanche
Lineage: Eukaryota; Metazoa; Arthropoda; Insecta; Diptera; Drosophilidae
Source: RNAcentral